RNAcentral lists this ribosomal RNA (471 nucleotides) under uncultured Latescibacterota bacterium. Its description in RNAcentral is "bacterial SSU rRNA". It matches the Rfam family "Bacterial small subunit ribosomal RNA", at positions 917 to 1381 of the family's 1533-position model. The record is from RNAcentral. Lineage: Bacteria; Pseudomonadati; Candidatus Latescibacterota.
UUGACGGGACCGCACAAGCGGUGGAUGAUGUGGAUUAAUUCGAUGCAACGCGAAAACCUUACCUACCCUUGACAUGCCUGGAACUUGGUAGAGAUACCUUGGUGCCUUCGGGGAGCCGGGACACAGGUGCUGCAUGGCUGUCGUCAGCUCGUGUCGUGAGAUGUUGGGUUAAGUCCCGCAACGAGCGCAACCCUUAUCCCCAGUUGCCAUCAGGUAAAGCUGGGAACUCUGGGGAGACUGCCGGUGAUAAACCGGAGGAAGGCGGGGAUGACGUCAAGUCCUCAUGGCCCUUACAUCCCGGGCUACACACGUGCUACAAUGGCAGGUACAGAGGGCUGCGAAGCCGCGAGGUGGAGCGAAUCCCAGAAAACCUGUCUCAGUCCGGAUUGAAGUCUGCAACUCGACUUCAUGAAGGCGGAAUCGCUAGUAAUCGCGGAUCAGCACGCCGCGGUGAAUACGUUCCCGGGCCUU